GCGUGUAGGCUGGUUUUCCAGGCAAAUCCGGAAAAUCAAGGCUGAGGCGUGAUGACGAGGCACUACGGUGCUGAAGCAACAAAUGCCCUGCUUCCAGGAAAAGCCUCUAAGCAUCAGGUAACAUCAAAUCGUACCCCAAACCGACACAGGUGGUCAGGUAGAGAAUACCAAGGCGCUUGAGAGAACUCGGGUGAAGGAACUAGGCAAAAUGGUGCCGUAACUUCGGGAGAAGGCACGCUGAUAUGUAGGUGAAGUCCCUCGCGGAUGGAGCUGAAAUCAGUCGAAGAUACCAGCUGGCUGCAACUGUUUAUUAAAAACACAGCACUGUGCAAACACGAAAGUGGACGUAUACGGUGUGACGCCUGCCCGGUGCCGGAAGGUUAAUUGAUGGGGUCAGCGCAAGCGAAGCUCUUGAUCGAAGCCCCGGUAAACGGCGGCCGUAACUAUAACGGUCCUAAGGUAGCGAAAUUCCUUGUCGGGUAAGUUCCGACCUGCACGAAUGGCGUAAUGAUGGCCAGGCUGUCUCCACCCGAGACUCAGUGAAAUUGAACUCGCUGUGAAGAUGCAGUGUACCCGCGGCAAGACGGAAAGACCCCGUGAACCUUUACUAUAGCUUGACACUGAACAUUGAGCCUUGAUGUGUAGGAUAGGUGGGAGGCUUUGAAGUGUGGACGCCAGUCUGCAUGGAGCCGACCUUGAAAUACCACCCUUUAAUGUUUGAUGUUCUAACGUGGACCCGUGAUCCGGGUUGCGGACAGUGUCUGGUGGGUAGUUUGACUGGGGCGGUCUCCUCCUAAAGAGUAACGGAGGAGCACGAAGGUUGGCUAAUCCUGGUCGGACAUCAGGAGGUUAGUGCAAUGGCAUAAGCCAGCUUGACUGCGAGCGUGACGGCGCGAGCAGGUGCGAAAGCAGGUCAUAGUGAUCCGGUGGUUCUGAAUGGAAGGGCCAUCGCUCAACGGAUAAAAGGUACUCCGGGGAUAACAGGCUGAUACCGCCCAAGAGUUCAUAUCGACGGCGGUGUUUGGCACCUCGAUGUCGGCUCAUCACAUCCUGGGGCUGAAGUAGGUCCCAAGGGUAUGGCUGUUCGCCAUUUAAAGUGGUACGCGAGCUGGGUUUAGAACGUCGUGAGACAGUUCGGUCCCUAUCUGCCGUGGGCGCUGGAGAACUGAGGGGGGCUGCUCCUAGUACGAGAGGACCGGAGUGGACGCAUCACUGGUGUUCGGGUUGUCAUGCCAAUGGCACUGCCCGGUAGCUAAAUGCGGAAGAGAUAAGUGCUGAAAGCAUCUAAGCACGAAACUUGCCCCGAGAUGAGUUCUCCCUGACCCUUUAAGGGUCCUGAAGGAACGUUGAAGACGACGACGUUGAUAGGCCGGGUGUGUAAGCGCAGCGAUGCGUUGAGCUAACCGGUACUAAUGAACCGUGAGGCUUAACCUU
RNAcentral lists this ribosomal RNA (1434 nucleotides) under Escherichia coli. RNAcentral's name for it is "partial 23S ribosomal RNA". It matches the Rfam family "Bacterial large subunit ribosomal RNA", at positions 1516 to 2925 of the family's 2925-position model. The record is from RNAcentral. Lineage: Bacteria; Pseudomonadati; Pseudomonadota; Gammaproteobacteria; Enterobacterales; Enterobacteriaceae.